GGCUGGUUAGCUCAGUUGGUUAGAGCAUGGCGUUGAUAACACCAAAGUCAACGGUUCAGAUCCCCUUACCGGCCA
Galeopterus variegatus (Sunda flying lemur) is the source of this 75-nucleotide non-coding RNA. NCBI's taxonomy places the organism in Eukaryota, Metazoa, Chordata, Mammalia, Dermoptera, Cynocephalidae. The record is from the annotation of a RefSeq genome assembly.